RNAcentral lists this unclassified non-coding RNA (183 nucleotides) under uncultured Cladophialophora. RNAcentral describes it as "sequence contains ITS2". Lineage: Eukaryota; Fungi; Ascomycota; Eurotiomycetes; Chaetothyriales; Herpotrichiellaceae. The record is from RNAcentral.
UCACCCCUCAAGCCUCGUGCUUGGUUUUGGACGGGUUGGUCGGGGCUUGCCUCGACCCCUCCUAAAGACAACGACGGCGGCCUGUGGUUCCCCCGGUACACUGAGCUUCUUAACCGAGCACGUACCGGACGAGGGCGCCCGGGCCACGGUCCCCCCUCCUUUCACUAGGAAUCCUUUUUUCAA